Molecule: long non-coding RNA, 760 nt
Filed under: Equus caballus (horse)
Lineage: Eukaryota; Metazoa; Chordata; Mammalia; Perissodactyla; Equidae
Description: lncRNA (ENSECAG00000057804.1)
Source: RNAcentral
CUGGUGCUUGAGGAAAGUCAAUUCAUCUAGCAGAGACAAAAAGGAGGAAGGGACCACAUGCCCUUUGGCUAAGUAGAGGCUGGAUGGAGGAGCAUCAGUGAACAGAAGACAGAGGCCGGCUGUGUUUCCAAUUACAUCUCAGGAGGAAGCCGGAGACUCUAGAACACUGACUACAAGAACCUUGAAAGGACCUUUAUACAGCCAAUUGGACCAGCAUUGUGUAUGUGAACCUGGACAGCAAUUCAGCUCAUACAUUGGACAGCAACCUAUGCGAUGGCCUCUUAGGAAACAUCUUCUGGUCCACUCAUCUCAUCUUGGAAAUCUGAAAUCAGACAUGCUGAGAAAAGGAGGUGGGCAGAAAUGGAGGCAGAAGUUAAAAGUGAAGACAGAGAAAAGCUCGGUAUAGAAGAGGCCAUGAGGGCUAAAGCAAAUCAGAGUUACAAGGAAGUAGAAACACACAUCAGCAGAAACCAAGAUAGACAAGAGGUCUUCAGCGUGCCGGGGAAAGGAUAAGGCCCUGAGUGGUGGGAUUCGGGUGGAUUAGAGCAGACAUAUGAAGCCAUGGCAGUGGCUGAGCACCAUGGGGAAGAUCCCUGAAUCCUGCUUGUUCUGGAGUUCUCACUUCCUGAGACCUGCUCUGCCUGGAGCCACGCCUGUCGUAGGAUCCUGAGCACAUGUAUCCUCACAAUAAGACAGCUGUUAUUUGAAAUAUCUCACGUGGAUCUCUUUUUCUUGCAAAUAAAUUCCCAAAAAAAGUGCA